RNAcentral lists this ribosomal RNA (255 nucleotides) under uncultured bacterium. Its description in RNAcentral is "partial 16S ribosomal RNA". It matches the Rfam family "Bacterial small subunit ribosomal RNA", at positions 524 to 776 of the family's 1533-position model. The record is from RNAcentral.
UACGUAGGGGGCAAGCGUUGUCCGGAUUUAUUGGGCGUAAAGCGCUCGCAGGUGGUCCGAUGCGUCGUGCGUGAAAGACCCUGGCUCAACUGGGGAGUGUCGUGCGAUACGGUCGGACUGGAGGCCAGUAGGGGGGAUGCGGAAUUCCGGGUGUAGUGGUGGAAUGCGCAGAUAUCAGGAGGAAUACCCAUAGCGAAGGCAGCUGCGCUGGGACGGUACUGACGCUAAGGCGCGAAAGCGUGGGGAGCGAACAGG